AACGAACGCUGGCGGCAUGCCUAACACAUGCAAGUCGAACGAGACCUUCGGGUCUAUUGGCGCACGGUUUCGUAACGCGUGGGAACCUUCCCUUAGGUUCGGAAUAACUCCCCGACAGGGGUGCUAAUACCGGAUAAUGUCUUCGGCCCAAAGAUUUAUCGCCUUUGGAUGGGCCCGCGUUGGAUUAGCUAGUUGGUAGGGUAAAAGCCUACCAAGGCGACGAUCCAUAGCUGGUCUGAGAGGAUGAUCAGCCACACUGGGACUGAGACACGGCCCAGACUCCUACGGGAGGCAGCAGUGGGGAAUAGUGGACAAUGGGCGAAAGCCUGAUCGAGCAAUGCCGCGUGAGUGAUGAAGGCCUUAGGGUUGUAAAGCUCUUUUACCCGGGAUGAUAAUGACAGUACCGGGAGAAUAAGCGCCGGCUAACUACGUG
RNAcentral lists this ribosomal RNA (433 nucleotides) under uncultured bacterium. Its description in RNAcentral is "partial 16S ribosomal RNA". It matches the Rfam family "Bacterial small subunit ribosomal RNA", at positions 29 to 507 of the family's 1533-position model. The record is from RNAcentral.